GAUGAACGCUGGCGGCGUGCCUAAUACAUGCAAGUCGAGCGAACAGACGAGGAGCUUGCUCCUCUGACGUUAGCGGCGGACGGGUGAGUAACACGUGGAUAACCUACCUAUAAGACUGGGAUAACUUCGGGAAACCGGAGCUAAUACCGGAUAAUAUAUUGAACCGCAUGGUUCAAUAGUGAAAGACGGUUUUGCUGUCACUUAUAGAUGGAUCCGCGCCGCAUUAGCUAGUUGGUAAGGUAACGGCUUACCAAGGCAACGAUGCGUAGCCGACCUGAGAGGGUGAUCGGCCGCACGGGAACGGGAACACGGUCCAGACGCCUAAGGGAGGCAGCAGUAGGGAAUCUUCCGCAAUGGGCGAAAGCCUGACGGAGCAACGCCGCGUGAGUGAUGAAGGUCUUCGGAUCGUAAAACUCUGUUAUUAGGGAAGAACAAAUGUGUAAGUAACUAUGCACGUCUUGACGGUACCUAAUCAGAAAGCAACGGCUAACUACGUG
Molecule: ribosomal RNA, 497 nt
Filed under: uncultured bacterium
Lineage: Bacteria
Description: partial 16S ribosomal RNA
Rfam family: Bacterial small subunit ribosomal RNA
Source: RNAcentral